CUUGUACGAGGAUACGGGAAUCGAGCUGCCUCCGUGGAUCACCUUUCCAGACACAGAGCGAGCAGAAUGGGUAAACGAGGUCAUCAAACAGCUGUGGCCAAGAAUCGGAGAAUAUGCCAAGGAUUAUUGCAAACAUAUUUUGCAACCAGACUUAGCGAGCAGAAUGAAACCUAUAAGCUUCGAAUUUAGCAAAAUACAUCUCGGCGACGUCGCCCUUAUGG
Penaeus vannamei (Pacific white shrimp) is the source of this 221-nucleotide non-coding RNA. NCBI's taxonomy places the organism in Eukaryota, Metazoa, Arthropoda, Malacostraca, Decapoda, Penaeidae. The record is from RefSeq and is a predicted model, not a curated record.